CGUCACCUAAAUUAAAAUUAUAUAGCAUUAUUCUCAAUAAAAAAAAAUGCAAAGCCUAUUGAAAAUGAUUUUAAUUUGCAUGGACAGCUGGAAAUUGGUUGGAUGCAUUUACCCUCACCUAGCCAAGUCCACCGACACCAUUAAUAACAUGUCAAGGGCAAUUUUGGAAAAUGGGGUGAAUUAUACAUGUAGCACUCCAUAAAAGGGUUAAAAGAAUGGUAGCUACCUUGGUGAGAAUGAUGCAACAAUUUCCUACGUGGACACCAGAAAUUCUAAAAAUUGGAUAAGAAAAUGUGCAAAUAAUGAAGGCCAGCUAGACGCUAUCCUCAACCUUCUUUUUCUAAAUUCAGAUACAUAUCGAAAAAAAUAAAAAUAAGUCGCAAAC
Molecule: long non-coding RNA, 385 nt
Filed under: Olea europaea subsp. europaea
Lineage: Eukaryota; Viridiplantae; Streptophyta; Magnoliopsida; Lamiales; Oleaceae
Source: RNAcentral